AGCAGCCGCGGUAAUUCCAGCUCCAAUAGCGUAUAUUAAAGUUGUUGCAGUUAAAAAGCUCGUAGUUGAAUUUCGGGAUCAAUACGUCGGUCGUGCUUUCGGGUACGUACUGGCGUCAUUGGUUUCUCCUUUCUGACGAACCAUGAUGUCAUUAAUUUGGUGUUAUGGGGAGUUAGGACUGUUACUUUGAAAAAAUUAGAGUGUUUAAAGCAGGCAUUAGCUUGAAUACAUUAGCAUGGAAUAAUGAAAUAGGACGUUCGAUCCUAUUUUGUUGGUUUCUAGGAUCAACGUAAUGAUUAAUAGGGAUAGUUGGGGGCAUUAGUAUUCGAUUGUCAGAGGUGAAAUUCUUGGAUUUAUUGAAGACUAACUACUGCGAAAGCAUUUGCCAAGGAUGUUUUCAUUAAUCAAGAACGAAAGUUAGGGGAUCGAAGACGAUCAGAUACCGUCGUAGUCUUAACCAUAAACUAUGCCGACUAGGGAUCGGAUGAUGUUAAUUUUUUAAUGACUCA
RNAcentral lists this ribosomal RNA (509 nucleotides) under uncultured Glomus. RNAcentral describes it as "SSU rRNA". It matches the Rfam family "Eukaryotic small subunit ribosomal RNA", at positions 569 to 1078 of the family's 1831-position model. Lineage: Eukaryota; Fungi; Glomeromycota; Glomeromycetes; Glomerales; Glomeraceae. The record is from RNAcentral.